Acinonyx jubatus (cheetah) is the source of this 1163-nucleotide long non-coding RNA. RefSeq lists it as uncharacterized. The record is from RefSeq and is a predicted model, not a curated record. The transcript has 5 exons. NCBI's taxonomy places the organism in Eukaryota, Metazoa, Chordata, Mammalia, Carnivora, Felidae.
AACAGAAGUGCUGAGCAUUGACCAAGCCUAGAUAUGCCUGAACUCUUCUAGGUUCCAAAAAGUUUUAACGAUAAAACUCCAUUUUGUGUCUCAGCAAAGCUUAGCCCCAAGUAGAGAGGAUGGCAAGGUUAGGCCAGAGAGGACUAAAGUAGCCUACUAAGACUGAAGACCUGUGAGUGGCCUACUGGUCUCAGUGGGAAGGGGUCUUUGCUUUGAAUGGUGGAAAAAUAUUACUAAGAUCAAAUACCAAUUCAGGAGGAGGGAGUCUAAUAGGUCUGUCGAAAUGUGUCUUCUACUCACCUUACCUCCACACAGUUGGGCACUGGACAGAACGAGAUGCUAGUCUUGGGGCAUACAUAAAAGUGCUUGAUGAACUCUGCAAAAUCCAGACCCAAGUGAAGGGAAGACUACGGACAAUUCUGUCUUCAUCCCUAUAUUCCUGGCAACUCAUCAGGGUUCCUUAAUACAAGGGUUACUACCUGGACCUACCAAGCCAUUUUCAAGACUUCCUGUGUUGCCUUUUUUCCCAUUAACAAGGCAUACAACCUAGCUCCAAAGUCAAGGAGCCUGGAUCCAUGUACCUGCUCGUCUCUAAAAUGCAGACCCAAGACAGCAAGACUUCUCAAAGCCAAAAAAAAAAAAAAGGCUCCUUGCCUUGAAAUAAGAAAAGCUCUUCUUCCCAGAAUCCAAUCUAGUCAGACUUCUGAACUAGAUGACAUACUCCUCCUUAGGAAGAUAAGCAAACUACUAUAUGAAAGACAAAAGAGGGAGAUAAAUGACUUCUUUGCAACAAACUAAACAUAUAGGUACUAUAGCAAUGAAGAUUUACAAAGUGCUAAUGUGAUGGGCAUUAUUACUGCAAUGGGAAAAAAGAAAGCCUGGUGAUUUAGUGAUAGUCUUAGCUUAGUUACCCAACCAAGCUUUUGUUAUUUUGGCAUUCAAUCUCUACUGCACCAAGGUUCCCUGCAAAAACCAGAUUCAAAAAUUAAAACAAUUCACUUAAUGAAGUACAAGAGAACAAUGUUCAGAAUCCUUGUGUAUAUUUUUUGAUGCUCUUAACAUUAAGUGGCCAGCUCUCUUAGCCCAAGAUUGAUGUGUUUCCCAAGAUAGGAAUUUCAACGCUAAAACUGGAAAGUCCAGGCAAACUGGGACGGUUCGUUACC